RNAcentral lists this ribosomal RNA (111 nucleotides) under Gilliamella apicola. Its description in RNAcentral is "partial 16S ribosomal RNA". It matches the Rfam family "Bacterial small subunit ribosomal RNA", at positions 1 to 106 of the family's 1533-position model. Lineage: Bacteria; Pseudomonadati; Pseudomonadota; Gammaproteobacteria; Orbales; Orbaceae. RNAcentral also lists the same sequence under 6 other names. The record is from RNAcentral.
UUAAAUUGAAGAGUUUGAUCAUGGCUCAGAUUGAACGCUGGCGGCAGGCUUAACACAUGCAAGUCGAACGGUAACAUGAGUGCUUGCACUUGAUGACGAGUGGCGGACGGG